RNAcentral lists this ribosomal RNA (185 nucleotides) under Escherichia coli. RNAcentral's name for it is "partial 23S ribosomal RNA". It matches the Rfam family "Bacterial large subunit ribosomal RNA", at positions 1 to 186 of the family's 2925-position model. RNAcentral also lists the same sequence under 1 other name. Lineage: Bacteria; Pseudomonadati; Pseudomonadota; Gammaproteobacteria; Enterobacterales; Enterobacteriaceae. The record is from RNAcentral.
GGUUAAGCGACUAAGCGUACACGGUGGAUGCCCUGGCAGUCAGAGGCGAUGAAGGACGUGCUAAUCUGCGAUAAGCGUCGGUAAGGUGAUAUGAACCGUUAUAACCGGCGAUUUCCGAAUGGGGAAACCCAGUGUGUUUCGACACACUAUCAUUAACUGAAUCCAUAGGUUAAUGAGGCGAACCG